ACGCUAGCUACAGGCUUAACACAUGCAAGUCGAGGGGAAACGGCAUUAAGUGCUUGCACUUUUUGGACGUCGACCGGCGCACGGGUGAGUAACGCGUAUCCAACCUUCCCAUGACUAAGGGAUAACCUGCCGAAAGGCAGACUAAUACCUUAUGGUCUUCACUGACGGCAUCAGAUGUGAAGUAAAGAUUUAUCGGUUAUGGAUGGGGAUGCGUCUGAUUAGUUAGUUGGCGGGGUAACGGCCCACCAAGGCAACGAUCAGUAGGGGUUCUGAGAGGAAGGUCCCCCACAUUGGAACUGAGACACGGUCCAAACUCCUACGGGAGGCAGCAGUGAGGAAUAUUGGUCAAUGGGCGAGAGCCUGAACCAGCCAAGUAGCGUGCAGGAUGACGGCCCUAUGGGUUGUAAACUGCUUUUGUAUGGGGAUAAAGUCAAUCACGUGUGAUUGUUUGCAGGUACCAUACGAAUAAGGACCGGCUAAUUCCGUGCCAGCAGCCGCGGUAAUACGGAAGGUCCGGGCGUUAUCCGGAUUUAUUGGGUUUAAAGGGAGCGUAGGCUGGAGAUUAAGUGUGUUGUGAAAUGUAGACGCUCAACGUCUGACUUGCAGCGCAUACUGGUUUCCUUGAGUACGCACAACGUUGGCGGAAUUCGUCGUGUAGCGGUGAAAUGCUUAGAUAUGACGAAGAACUCCGAUUGCGAAGGCAGCUGACGGGAGCGCAACUGACGCUGAAGCUCGAAGGUGCGGGUAUCGAACAGGAUUAGAUACCCUGGUAGUCCGCACAGUAAACGAUGGAUGCCCGCUGUUGGUACUUGGUAUCAGCGGCUAAGCGAAAGCAUUAAGCAUCCCACCUGGGGAGUACGCCGGCAACGGUGAAACUCAAAGGAAUUGACGGGGGCCCGCACAAGCGGAGGAACAUGUGG
Molecule: ribosomal RNA, 920 nt
Filed under: uncultured bacterium
Lineage: Bacteria
Description: bacterial SSU rRNA
Rfam family: Bacterial small subunit ribosomal RNA
Source: RNAcentral